Molecule: ribosomal RNA, 3038 nt
Filed under: Candidatus Dojkabacteria bacterium
Lineage: Bacteria
Description: 23S ribosomal RNA
Rfam family: Bacterial large subunit ribosomal RNA
Source: RNAcentral
GAAACAAGGGCGCAUGGGGGAUGCCUUGGCACAAGAGGGCGAUGAAGGACGCGGGAUCCGUGCGAUACGCCUCGACAAGCUGGAUACAAGCGUUAUGAGUCGGGGAUCUCCGAAUGAGGAAACUCCUCCGGUUUACCGGAGAAUGCAUCUUUAGUAGAUGCGUGGCUAAGUGGGGGAACUGAAACAUCUUAGUACCCUGAGGAAAAGAAAACGAAUGUGAUUCCCUUAGUAGUGGCGAGCGAACAGGGAGCAGCCUAAACCAUACAUACUGUCCAAUUCGUCUUAAAUGCAGCGAUGCGUUUGAGUGUUUUGGUCACCGGCAUGACGGUUAUGUAUGUGUGGGGUAAUAAGACUUUAGUGCUGCGAUCAUGCAAGCAGAAAGCAGUUACAAAAUGUUUGUAUAGGAGAAGUUUCUGGAAAGAAACGCCAUAGAGGGUGAUAGCCCCGUAUCCGAAAUGCAAACAUCUGCUUCUAAAGUUCUUGAGUAGGGCAGUUUACGAGUGAACUGUCUGAAUUUGUCCCGACCAUGGGAUAAGGCUAAAUACCUCUUGUGACCGAUAGUGAACUAGUACCGUGAGGGAAAGGUGAAAAGAACCCCGGGUAGGGGAGUGAAAUAGACCUGAAACCAUGUGCCUACAAUCAGCUAGAGUCUGCGCAAGCAGAUGAUAGCGUGCCUAUUGAAGAAUGAGCCAGCGAGUAUGUUGUGUCGGCGAGGUUAAGACUGCUAAGGUCGAAGCCGAAGGGAAACCGAGUCUGAAUAGGGCGUUUAGUCGAUACAACAAGACCCGAAACUAGGUGAGCUACCCAUGGCCAGGUUGAACCUGCUGGAAACAGCGGGGGAGGACCGAACUAGUUAGCGUUGAAAAGCUAUUGGAUGAGCUGUGGGUAGGGGUAAAAUGCCAAUCGAACCUAGAAAUAGCUGGUUCUCCCCGAAAUAGUUUUAGGACUAGCCUCAGGAAAUUAGAGUUAGGGGUAGAGCUCUGAUCGGGUUCCGGGGUCCUUAGGAUUACCGGACUCUUUCAAACUGCGAAUACUAACUUCUGUAUCCUGGGAGUCAGUGCUUGGGGGCUAAGCUCCAAGUGCGAGAGGGAAACAGCCCAGACUACCAACUAAGGUCCCUAAGUUGUAGCUAAGUGGGAAAGGAAGUAGAUUUUCUAUGACAUCCAGGAGGUUAGCUUAGAAGCAGCUAUCCUUUAAAGAGUGCGUAACAGCUCACUGGCAAAUGAAAAUCUGCGCCAACAAUUCAACGGGGCUAAGCUACACACCGAAGUUGUAGAUUUAGUAGUUUUCUAAACUACUAAAUAGUAGGGGAGCGUACUUGCGACGUUGAAGGUGGUCGGUAACGAUUGCUGGAGUUGCAAGUAGUGAGAAUGCUGGCAUGAGUAGCGAGAGUCUGGUGAAAAUCCAGGCCACCGAAUAUCCAAGGGUUCCACAGCAAUGAUGAUCAACUGUGGGUUAGUCGAUCCUAAGCCGAGUCUGCAAAAAUGCAGGGUAGGCGAUGGACAAGGAGUUAAUAUUCUCCUACCAUAAUAAAGCCGUUUGACUGACGGGGUGACCAAUCUUGAGAGUGUCAGCUCUGGUAGGUCGGAGUGCAAGUGGCAAGUUAGGAGCUAUAGAGAAAUGCUUUAGCUCCGUUUCCUAUUGAUAUGGGAUGAAAACGAGCCACGAUGCAAAGGCUUUGCCUACGGGUGAAGCUAAUUGGCAUAGCUUAAGGUUGCUAGAAAAACCUCGAAAAGGAGGCUUUAUUAUGAUCGUACCGUAAACCGACACAGGUGGAUUGGUAGAGUAUACCAAGGUGGACGGGUUAUUCUCCGUUAAGGAACUCGGCAAAUUGCUGCCGUAACUUCGGGAGAAGGCAGUCCUAUACUUAACUGUAUAGGAGGCACAAAAGAGGUCCGGCCGACUGUUUAUCAAAAACACAGGUUCCUGCUAAAGUCGCAAGACGAUGUAUAGGAGCUGACGCGUGCCCAAUGCUGGUAGUCGAAAGAAGGUCGUGAUAAGCGACUGACCUAAGACCCAGUGAAUGGCGGCUGUAACUAUAACGGUCCUAAGGUAGCGAAAUUCCUUGGCGCUUAAUUGGCGUCCCGCAUGAAACGCGUAACGAGUUGGACACUGUCUUGACGGAGAGCCCGGCGAACAAUGAAAUGGCUGUGAAGAUGCGGCCUACCCGCGCAAGGACAAAAAGACCCCGUGGAGCUUUACUGCAUCCUUGUUUUGAUUUAGGUGCAUACAUGUAUAGAGUAAGAGGGAGACUGUGAAGCUAUGACGCCAGUCAUGGUGGAGUCGACAAUGUAACACCUCUCUUGUAUGUAUUUAAAUCUAACCCUGAUUACGCAUAAGCACCUAGUUAUUGGGUUCUUAUGCGUAAUCGGGGACAGAGCAAGGAGGGCAGUUUAACUGGGACGGUUCCCUUCUAAAGAGUAACGAAGGGGUUCAUAAGGUAUCCUCGGCCCGGAUGGAAAUCGGGCUUAAGAGCACAAAGGUAUAAGGAUGCUUUACUGUCAGACUCACAAGUCGAGCAGUCACGAAAGUGGGACUUAGUGACCCGACAUUCGCAUAUGGGAGCGAUGAAGAUCAUCGGAUAAAAGCUACCCCGGGGAUAACAGGCUAGUGGUGCCCUAGAGUUCAUAUCGACGGCACCGUUCGGCACCUCGAUGUCGGCUCGUCGCAUCCUGGAGGAUGCAGCAUCUUCCAAGGGUUGGGGAGUUCACCCAUUAAAGCGGCACGUGAGCUGGGUUCAAAACGGCGUGAGCCAGUUUGGUCUCUAUCCGGCGCGGGCGUUCGAAGAUUGAAGGGUGUUCUGCUCCUAGUACGCAAGGACCGGAGUGGGUUAGUCCCUAGUGUACCAGUUGUCACACCAGUGGCACAGCUGGGUAGCUACACUAAUAAUGGAUAAGCGCUGAAAGCAUAUAAGUGCGAAGCCAGCCCCAAGAUGAAUCUUCGUCAUCAGACCACCCGCAGUCUACGGGUUUGAUAGGCCACAGGUGUAAGUACAGUAAUGUAUUUAGCCGAGUGGUACUAAUCGGUCGAAUAAUUUU